AAGAUGGCGACCGGCGCACGGGUGAGUAACACGUGUCCAACCUGCCGAUAACUCUGGAAUAGCCUUUCGAAAGAAAGAUUAAUACCGGAUGGCAUACGAAUAUCGCAUGAUAUUUUUAUUAAAGAAUUUCGGUUAUCGAUGGGGAUGCGUUCCAUUAGUUUGUUGGCGGGGUAACGGCCCACCAAGACAACGAUGGAUAGGGGUUCUGAGAGGAAGGUCCCCCACAUUGGAACUGAGACACGGUCCAA
This 248-nucleotide ribosomal RNA is filed under the name uncultured bacterium. Its description in RNAcentral is "partial 16S ribosomal RNA". It matches the Rfam family "Bacterial small subunit ribosomal RNA", at positions 85 to 334 of the family's 1533-position model. The record is from RNAcentral.